AAGGGCACCACAAGAACGCGUGGAGCAUGUGGCUUAAUUUCACUCAACGCGGGAAAUCUUACCGGGUCCGGACACACUGAGGAUUGACAGGCAAUAUUAAAUAUUAUAUAUUUAUAUAUUUUAUUUAUGUUAAAUAUGCUAGUCCUUUCAUGAUUAUGUGAUAGGUGGUGCAUGGCCGUUCUUAGUUCGUGGAGUGAUCUGUCUGCUUAAUUGCGUUUCACUAAGGGUCUAUACUUACGUAUGUGGCGAUACAUUGACCCCUUACUUUAUUGUAAGAGCGUGUCUUUGUUAUUUAGCUCAUACAUUUAGACUCUGAAAGCAACGAACGUGACCGCAACCUCUUGUUGCCUUUGUACCAAAUUUUUUUUUUUUACUUCGGUAAUUAAAUUAAAAUCAAAAAGGCUUAUUAAACUAGAGGGACCGCUGUUACUUUCUUAAACCAGAGGAAGGUUGCGGCAAUAACAGGUCCGUGAUGCCCUUAGAUGUUCCGGGCUGCACACGUGCUACAAUGAUUAUUGCAGUGAGCAUCUCAUUUUAACACACCGCUUGCGCGAGUCCAUUUAAUUACAUAUUUCUAUAUGUUUUUUAAAUGUGUAUCUCUGCGCGCGGUAAAGCCUGCUUCGAAAGUAAGUGGGUAAUCAAUUAGAAGUAAUGAUUUCCUUUUUUUUCUGCACAAAUAUAUACGGCAGUUUUACCCGAGAUUUACUUCGGUAUUUCUUUUGUGUGUAUUACUGUUCUUUCCGUAUGUGCGAUUGUCAAUUCAUGGUGGGGACAGACCAUUGUUAAUUGUUGGUCUCGGUCUUAACUAGGAAUGCCUUGUACGGGUCUUUGGUUCAACAGACCACCCGGAAUACGUCCCUGCCCUUUGUACACACCGCCCGUCGCUCUUACCGAUGGACUUCUCUGUGAGUUUGAGGGACUGGAAUUUAUUUUUUUAUUAUUCGUAAUAAAAAAAUUUCAACCUAUGGAAACUUAAACGAACAGUGUGGUCUAAAGGAAAGAGAAGUCGUAACAAGGCAUCGGUAGGUGAACCU
RNAcentral lists this ribosomal RNA (1034 nucleotides) under Entzia macrescens. RNAcentral's name for it is "partial 18S ribosomal RNA". It matches the Rfam family "Eukaryotic small subunit ribosomal RNA", at positions 1160 to 1816 of the family's 1831-position model. Lineage: Eukaryota; Foraminifera; Textulariida; Trochamminidae. The record is from RNAcentral.